CAAAGGUAGCAUAAUCAUUAGGGAUUUAAUUGGAACCUGGAAUGAAGGGUCGAACAAAGAAAAGGCUGUCUCUAUAAUAUGAGUUGAAAUUUACUUUUAAGUGAAAAGGCUUAAAUAAAUCAAAGGGACGAUAAGACCCUAUAAAGCUUUAUAGGUGGGUUGGACUUAGUUGAUUUAGUAUGAUAAAAAUUAAGUUUGAUUACUUUAUUUCAUUGGGGUGAUGUGAGUAUAAUUGUUAUUAACUGCUUAAGAGAAAUACUUUUAUAAAAGAAUUGUAAAGUAUGAUCCUUUUUAAAGAUUAUAAGACUAAGUUACUUUAGGGAUAACAGCGUUAUUUCUUUUGAGAGUUCAUAUCGAAAAAGGAGAUUGCGACCUCGAUGUUGAAUUAAAAUAUCUAUAUAAUGCAGUCGUUAUAAAAGAGGGUCUGUUCGACCUUUAAAUUUUUACAUGAUUUGAGUU
RNAcentral lists this ribosomal RNA (459 nucleotides) under Actaeodes hirsutissimus. Its description in RNAcentral is "partial 16S ribosomal RNA". It matches the Rfam family "Bacterial large subunit ribosomal RNA", at positions 1951 to 2611 of the family's 2925-position model. Lineage: Eukaryota; Metazoa; Arthropoda; Malacostraca; Decapoda; Xanthidae. The record is from RNAcentral.